AUACUCACCUGGCAGAGGAGACACCAUGAUCAGGCAGGUGGUUUUCCCAGGGCAAGGCUCACCCACUGCAUUCAGGGUGUGCUGACCCUUGUGAUUUCCCCAAAUGCAGGAAACUUGACUGCAUAAUUUGUUGUAAUAGGGGACUGCAUUUACUCUCUCCCCUG
Peromyscus eremicus (cactus mouse) is the source of this 164-nucleotide small nuclear RNA. RefSeq annotates it as U1 spliceosomal RNA. The transcript has a single exon. The record is from RefSeq and is a predicted model, not a curated record. NCBI's taxonomy places the organism in Eukaryota, Metazoa, Chordata, Mammalia, Rodentia, Cricetidae.